UUUGUUCCCUAAAUAGGGACUUGUAUGAAUGGCCACACGAGGGCUUUACUGUCUCUUACUUCCAAUCCGUGAAAUUGACCUUCCCGUGAAGAGGCGGGAAUACAACAAUAAGACGAGAAGACCCUAUGGAGCUUUAAUUAACCGACCCAAAGAGACCCAUUAAUUUCAACCGACAGGAACAACAAACCUCUAUAUGGGCCGACAAUUUAGGUUGGGGUGACCUCGGAGAACAGAACAACCUCCGAGUGAUUUAAAUCAAGACUAACCAGUCGAAAGUAUUACAUCACUUAUUGAUCCAAAAGUUUGAUCAACGGAACAAGUUACCCUAGGGAUAACAGCGCAAUCCUAUUUCAGAGUCCAUAUCGACAAUAGGGUUUACGAC
This 382-nucleotide ribosomal RNA is filed under the name Puma concolor (puma). RNAcentral's name for it is "partial 16S ribosomal RNA". It matches the Rfam family "Bacterial large subunit ribosomal RNA", at positions 1968 to 2524 of the family's 2925-position model. The record is from RNAcentral. Lineage: Eukaryota; Metazoa; Chordata; Mammalia; Carnivora; Felidae.